Ochotona princeps (American pika) is the source of this 377-nucleotide long non-coding RNA. RefSeq lists it as uncharacterized. The record is from RefSeq and is a predicted model, not a curated record. The transcript has 3 exons. NCBI's taxonomy places the organism in Eukaryota, Metazoa, Chordata, Mammalia, Lagomorpha, Ochotonidae.
UGGCUGCUGUGGCUGGAGCUAAGGAGAUCUGAAUUCAGGAACCAGGAGCUUCUUCCUGCUCUCAAGGCUUUGGGCCAUCUUCUACUGCUUUCCUAGGCCACAGGCAGGGAAUUGGAAGGGACGUGGAGUAGCCAGGACAUCAACCACUGCCAAAUGGAAUGCUGGUGCAAGCAAGAUGAGCAAACUAAGGUUGAAGCAGGCUGAAAAACUGGGUUUAGAAUUCUACAAGUCUAGUUCCAAGAUCGCAUCCACGCUGUGCAACUUUUGGUAUCAGUUGACAGAAGAAUUCAAACAAAAAUGGUUCCAAAAUUCCAUGGGAAAGGAGAGUUGCAGCAAUUGGAAGAGAUAGCGCUGUAUUUCUGAGUGAAUUUCCAGAA